GUGUCAGCCGCCGCGGUAGCACGUAGGAGGCAAACGUUAUCCGGAUUUACUGGGCGUAAAGCGCGUGUAGGUGGUUUGGUAAGUAGGGCGUGAAAGCUCCUGGCUCAACUGGGAGAGGACGUUCUAAACUGCCAAGCUUGAGGAUGGUAGAGGGAGGUGGAAUUCCGGGUGUAGCGGUGGAAUGCGCAGAUAUCCGGAGGAACACCAGUGGCGAAGGCGGCCUCCUGGA
RNAcentral lists this ribosomal RNA (229 nucleotides) under uncultured bacterium. Its description in RNAcentral is "partial 16S rRNA". It matches the Rfam family "Bacterial small subunit ribosomal RNA", at positions 505 to 733 of the family's 1533-position model. The record is from RNAcentral.